CGAGAUGUAGCUUUUAAAAGUUUAUUACUUACAUUAAUAAGAAGAUUAUUGUAUUAAUCCGUUUUGA
Molecule: transfer RNA, 67 nt
Filed under: Japanagallia multispina
Lineage: Eukaryota; Metazoa; Arthropoda; Insecta; Hemiptera; Cicadellidae
Description: tRNA-Val
Source: RNAcentral